GGCCUGUCUGUCGCUCGCUCACACGCGAGAGGAAAGUCCGGGCUACACAGGGCUCCAUGCCGGUUAACAGCCGGUAGGCGGCGACGUUUAGGUUAACGUAACAGAAAAUAACCGCCCCGCAAGGGGUAAGGGUGAAAAGGCGAGGUAAGAGCUCACCGCACACUUGGUAACAAGGCGUGGCUGUACGUCCCAUGGGUUGUAAGAUCAUGUAUACUGGUGGUUGGUACGUGUCGGAAACGAUACUGUGUCCAUGAAGGGCGGCCCGUCCAAGCCAGGGGGUAGAUUGCUAAAGUGCGUCAGCAAUGGCGAACUCAGAUCAAUGGCAGACACCUGUCGAAAGACAGGGACGGAACCCGGCUUAUAAGCCUACUGC
Molecule: RNase P RNA, 373 nt
Filed under: bovine gut metagenome
Description: Bacterial RNase P class A
Rfam family: Bacterial RNase P class A
About the family: Ribonuclease P (RNase P) is a ubiquitous endoribonuclease, found in archaea, bacteria and eukarya as well as chloroplasts and mitochondria. Its best characterised activity is the generation of mature 5'-ends of tRNAs by cleaving the 5'-leader elements of precursor-tRNAs.
Source: RNAcentral